AGGAGGCACGAGAGCGCCAUACAUACACAAACAGCGUACAAGACUCAACCACUCCCUCCUUGUUUGUUUAUAUACCUUGGCACCACCAAGGCAGCACCCUGUAAACUAACUACCAAAGCCGAAGAAGGCGGCUUGCCCUGCCCGUCGCCUUGGUGCCGCGCGCGCCAUGGCCAAGAGCAAGUCGUCCGCCAAGGCCGGCCCCCCGCUCCUCGGCAAGUACGAGCUCGGCCACCUCCUCGGCCGGGGCAACUUCGCCAAGGUAUACCACGCGCGCUGUCUCGGCGGAGGCGACCCCGUGGCCGUGAAGGUGCUG
RNAcentral lists this long non-coding RNA (313 nucleotides) under Zea mays. RNAcentral's name for it is "long non-coding RNA (ZMAY_LNC000058)". The record is from RNAcentral. Lineage: Eukaryota; Viridiplantae; Streptophyta; Magnoliopsida; Poales; Poaceae.